GACGAACCGUGCGAACGUUGUUCGGAAUCACUGGGCUUAAAGGGCGCGUAGGCGGGCUCAAAAGUCAGGGGUGAAAUCCCACGGCUCAACCGUGGAAGUGCCUUUGAUACUGUGAGUCUCGAGGGAGGUAGGGGCGUGCGGAACUUCCGGUGGAGCGGUGAAAUGCGUAGAGAUCAGGAGGAACACCAGUGGCGAAGGCGGCCCUCUGGAUAGACCCUGACGCUGAGGCGCGAAAGCGUGGGGAGCGAACGGG
This 253-nucleotide ribosomal RNA is filed under the name uncultured bacterium. RNAcentral's name for it is "partial 16S ribosomal RNA". It matches the Rfam family "Bacterial small subunit ribosomal RNA", at positions 524 to 776 of the family's 1533-position model. The record is from RNAcentral.